UUACCGAGUGAGGGCCCUCUGGGUCCAACCUCCCACCCGUGUCUAUCGUACCUUGUUGCUUCGGCGGGCCCGCCGUUUCGACGGCCGCCGGGGAGGCCCUGCGCCCCCGGGCCCGCGCCCGCCGAAGACCCCAACAUGAACGCUGUUCUGAAAGUAUGCAGUCUGAGUUGAUUAUCGUAAUCAGUUAAAACUUUCAACAACGGAUCUCUUGGUUCCGGCAUCGAUGAAGAACGCAGCGAAAUGCGAUAAGUAAUGUGAAUUGCAGAAUUCAGUGAAUCAUCGAGUCUUUGAACGCACAUUGCGCCCCCUGGUAUUCCGGGGGGCAUGCCUGUCCGAGCGUCAUUGCUGCCCUCAAGCACGGCUUGUGUGUUGGGCCCCCGUCCCCCUCUCCCGGGGGACGGGCCCGAAAGGCAGCGGCGGCACCGCGUCCGGUCCUCGAGCGUAUGGGGCUUUGUCACCUGCUCUGUAGGCCCGGCCGGCGCCAGCCGACACCCAACUUUAUUUUUCUAAGGUUGACCUCGGAUCAGGUAGGGAUACCCGCUGAACUUAAGCAU
RNAcentral lists this ribosomal RNA (554 nucleotides) under Aspergillus sp. Its description in RNAcentral is "eukaryotic LSU rRNA". The stretch from base 189 to 342 matches the Rfam family "5.8S ribosomal RNA". The record is from RNAcentral. Lineage: Eukaryota; Fungi; Ascomycota; Eurotiomycetes; Eurotiales; Aspergillaceae.